CAAUAGCGUAUAUUAAAGUUGUUGCAGUUAAAAAGCUCGUAGUUGGAUUUCGGGACGGGCCAGUUGGUACGCCGCAAGGUGUGUUACUGACUGGUCUGUUCUUCUUCGCAAAGACUGCGUGUGCUCUUCGUUGAGUGUGCGUAGGAUUUACGACGUUUACUUUGAAAAAAUUAGAGUGUUCAAAGCAGGCUAUCGCUUGAAUACAUGAGCAUGGAAUAAUGGAAUAGGACUUUGGUCCUAUUUUGUUGGUUUCUAGGACCGAAGUAAUGAUUAAGAGGGACAAUUGGGGGCAUCCGUAUUUCGUUGUCAGAGGUGAAAUUCUUGGAUUUACGAAAGACGAACAACUGCGAAAGCACUUGCCAAGAGUGUUUUCAUUAA
This 378-nucleotide ribosomal RNA is filed under the name uncultured eukaryote. RNAcentral's name for it is "partial 18S ribosomal RNA". It matches the Rfam family "Eukaryotic small subunit ribosomal RNA", at positions 592 to 976 of the family's 1831-position model. The record is from RNAcentral.